RNAcentral lists this microRNA precursor (186 nucleotides) under Oryza nivara. Its description in RNAcentral is "MIR812 microRNA precursor family". It matches the Rfam family "MIR812 microRNA precursor family". Lineage: Eukaryota; Viridiplantae; Streptophyta; Magnoliopsida; Poales; Poaceae. The record is from Rfam by way of RNAcentral.
AAUAAACAAACCCUGGAUUUUCAUGUCCAACGUUUGACUAUCCGUCUUAUAUGAAAUUUUUUUUAUAAUUAGUAUUUUCAUUAUUGUUAGAUGAUAAAACAUGAUUAAUACUUUAUGUGUGACUCAUCUUUUUUUUAUAUUAUUUUUAAAUAAGACAGAUGGACAAAACCCAAGGUUUCAAAUAAG